GCUCAGGAUGAACGCUAGCUACAGGCUUAACACAUGCAAGUCGAGGGGUAGCAGGGUAGCAAUACCGCUGACGACCGGCGCACGGGUGAGUAACACGUAUCCAACCCUCCCAUAACUCAGGGAUAGCCUUUCGAAAGAAAGAUUAAUACCUGAUAGUACUUAAGAAAGGCAUCUUUUUUAAGUUAAAGAUUUAUUGGUUAUGGAUGGGGAUGCGUUCCAUUAGAUAGUUGGUGAAGUAACGGCUCACCAAGUCUUCGAUGGAUAGGGGUUCUGAGAGGAAGGUCCCCCACAUUGGUACUGAGACACGGACCAAACUCCUACGGGAGGCAGCAGUGAGGAAUAUUGGUCAAUGGGCGAGAGCCUGAACCAGCCAAGUAGCGUGAA
Molecule: ribosomal RNA, 384 nt
Filed under: uncultured Bacteroidales bacterium
Lineage: Bacteria; Pseudomonadati; Bacteroidota; Bacteroidia; Bacteroidales
Description: bacterial SSU rRNA
Rfam family: Bacterial small subunit ribosomal RNA
Source: RNAcentral